Molecule: ribosomal RNA, 253 nt
Filed under: uncultured bacterium
Lineage: Bacteria
Description: partial 16S ribosomal RNA
Rfam family: Bacterial small subunit ribosomal RNA
Source: RNAcentral
UACGUAGGGGGCUAGCGUUGUCCGGAAUCAUUGGGCGUAAAGCGCGUGUAGGCGGCCCGGUAAGUCCGCUGUGAAAGUCGGGGGCUCAACCCUCGAAAGCCGGUGGAUACUGUCGGGCUAGAGUACGGAAGAGGCGAGUGGAAUUCCUGGUGUAGCGGUGAAAUGCGCAGAUAUCAGGAGGAACACCCAUUGCGAAGGCAGCUCGCUGGGACGUUACUGACGCUGAGGAGCGAAAGCGUGGGGAGCGAACAGG